CGUUCCAUUCCCUCCGGGUCGUCUUCUUUCUGGAACUCGAUCGACUCUUCUAGUUCGAACGACUGCUCUUCAAUCGAAGUCAGUGGUUCGAACUUGUUCUGUUGUGGUUGGACUUUUGACGGGAACCCUAACGAUUGUUCCUCCAGUCAGCUGACUCUUGACUGUUUCGACGGGACUGGCUGGUUCAGUCGUUUAACUGACUCUCCUUUUGACUUGACCUUUGGAAGGACUCGCCGGAACGGUUCUUCGACAAAGAAUACGAACUUCUUAAAACAGUUUUGAAACUUCUUCUUUGGUCGGCUGACCUCGGUUUGGAACUGGGGCAGUUAAGAGGCCACUUACUGCUUCAACGGUACCUACAGAAGGCUGACCUCAGCGCACAACGUCGACAGCACCUGAUAGAGCGUUCCGACUUCCGGCGGUGUAGAGCGUAGCUAAGCUGCGAGACCGGACUCCUCUGUGAAGUCUUACUGGAACUCAGCGACUACUGGGCGAACUUGUGCUAGGGACCAGCUCACGUUCUCACCUUCUUCAGGAGCCGAGCCACGCCACGUCUACAGCGAGACACAGACCGGGCUCAGGUGACGUUUCUACGUGCUCUCCUCUUCGACCGCCGGGAAGCCCACCGGUUAUGGUUCUUCGUGCUGAAGUCCAGG
RNAcentral lists this ribosomal RNA (656 nucleotides) under Triticum aestivum (bread wheat). RNAcentral's name for it is "partial small subunit ribosomal RNA". The record is from RNAcentral. Lineage: Eukaryota; Viridiplantae; Streptophyta; Magnoliopsida; Poales; Poaceae.